AGAGUUCGAUCCUUACUUAAGAUGAAUGCUGGUGGCAUGCUUAACACAUGCAAGUCAAAUGAGAAGUGAUGUUUCCAAUGGUGGAUGGGUGAGUAACACGUAAGAAUCUGCCCUUGGGAGGGAAACAACAACUGAAAACAAUUGCUAAUAUCCCAUAGGCUGAGGAAAAAGAGGAAUCAUCCGAGAAGGAGUUUGCAUCUGAUUAGCUAGUUGGUGAGGCAAUAGCUUACCAAGGUGAUGAUUAAUAGCUGGUCCAAGAGAAUGAUCAAACACAUUAGAACUAAGACAUGACCCAGACUCCUAUGGGAGGCAUUAGUAGAGAAUUUUUUGCAAUGGAUGGAAGCCUGACGGAGCAAUGCCAUAUGGAGGUAGAAGGCCCAUGGAUCGUGAACUUUUUUUCUUGGAGAAGAAGCAAUGACAGUAUUUGAGAAAUAAGCAUCAACUAACUCUAUGCUUGUAGACAUGGUAAGAUAGAAGAUGCAAGUGUUAUCUGGAAUGAUUGUGCGUAAAGCAUUUGUAAGUGGCUUUUCAAGUCCACCGUCAAAUCCCAAGGCUCAACACUAGACAGAUGAUGGAAACUACCAAGCUAGAGUAUGGUAGGGGCACAAAAAAAUUUCGGUGGAGCGGUGAAAUGCAUAGAGAUUGGAAAAAACACCAACAACAAAAGUACUAUGCUGGAUCGACACUGAAUUGAGAAAUGAAAGCUAAGGGAGCAAAUGGGAUUAAAUACCCCAAUAGUCCUAGCUGUAAAUGAUGGAUAUUAGGCACUGUGUAUGGAGACCCAUGUAGUGCUGUAGCUAACGUGUUAUCUCAGCUAGGGAGUACAUUCACAAGAAUAAAACUCAAAGAGACUAACAGGGGCCCGCAGAAGCGGUGGAACACGUGGUUUAAUUCGAUGCAAAGAGAAAAACCUUACUGAAGCUUGACAUGCUGUGAAUCCUCCUAAAAGAGAGGGGUGCCUUUGGGAACACAAACACUGAUGGUGCAUGGUUGUUAUCAGCUCGUGCCAUAAGGUGUUGGGUUAAGUCCCACAAUAAGCGUAAUCCUCGUAUUUAGUUACCAUCGUUGAGUUUGGAACCCUGAACAGACUGUCGGUGAUAAGCUGAAGAAAGAUGAAGAUGACAUCAAGUCAUCAUGCCCCGUAUGGCCUAGGCAACACAUAUGCUACAAUGGCCAAGACAAAGGGUCACGAUCCUGUGAAGGUGAGCUAACUUCAAAAAUAUAUCCUCGGUUUGGAUUGUAAGUUGCAAAUUGCCUGCACGAAAUCAAAAUCGCUAGUAAUCGUCAAUAUGGUAGUGAAUUCGUUCCGAGCUUUGCACACACCACCCGUCACACCAUGGAAGCUAGCCAUGCCUGAAAUCAUUACCUUAACUGCAAUGAGGGAGAUGCCAAAGGCGGGACUACUGACUAGAGUGAAGUCGUAAUAAGAUAGCCGUACUACAAAGUGCGACUG
Molecule: ribosomal RNA, 1453 nt
Filed under: Elaeis guineensis (African oil palm)
Lineage: Eukaryota; Viridiplantae; Streptophyta; Magnoliopsida; Arecales; Arecaceae
Description: bacterial SSU rRNA
Rfam family: Bacterial small subunit ribosomal RNA
Source: RNAcentral